UACGAGGGGAGCUAGCGUUGUUCGGAAUUACUGGGCGUAAAGGGCGUGUAGGCGGUACCAUAAGUCAGAUGUGAAAGCCCUGGGCUUAACCUAGGAUGUGCAUUUGAUACUGUGGAACUAGAGAUCGGGAGAGGAAAGUGGAAUUACGAGUGUAGAGGUGAAAUUCGUAGUUAUUCGUAAGAACACCAGUGGCGAAGGCGACUUUCUGGCCCGAUACUGACGCUAAGGCGCGAAAGCGUGGGGAGCAAACAGG
This 253-nucleotide ribosomal RNA is filed under the name uncultured bacterium. Its description in RNAcentral is "partial 16S ribosomal RNA". It matches the Rfam family "Bacterial small subunit ribosomal RNA", at positions 524 to 776 of the family's 1533-position model. The record is from RNAcentral.